This 252-nucleotide ribosomal RNA is filed under the name Klebsiella pneumoniae. RNAcentral describes it as "partial 23S ribosomal RNA". It matches the Rfam family "Bacterial large subunit ribosomal RNA", at positions 2691 to 2925 of the family's 2925-position model. Lineage: Bacteria; Pseudomonadati; Pseudomonadota; Gammaproteobacteria; Enterobacterales; Enterobacteriaceae. The record is from RNAcentral.
ACCGGAGUGGACGCAUCACUGGUGUUCGGGUUGUCAUGCCAAUGGCACUGCCCGGUAGCUAAAUGCGGAAGAGAUAAGUGCUGAAAGCAUCUAAGCACGAAACUUGCCCCGAGAUGAGUUCUCCCUGAGACUUUAAGUCUCCUGAAGGAACGUUAAAGACGAUGACGUUGAUAGGCCGGGUGUGUAAGCGCAGCGAUGCGUUGAGCUAACCGGUACUAAUGAACCGUGAGGCUUAACCUUACAACGCCGAAG